RNAcentral lists this ribosomal RNA (546 nucleotides) under uncultured archaeon. RNAcentral's name for it is "bacterial SSU rRNA". It matches the Rfam family "Archaeal small subunit ribosomal RNA", at positions 326 to 872 of the family's 1478-position model. The record is from RNAcentral.
CGGGGUGCAGCAGGCGCGAAAACUCUACAAUGCAGGCAACUGCGAUAGGGGGACAUCGAGUGGCAUCCACCUUGGGUGCCUGUCCAACCGUCUAAAAAACGGUUGUUAGCAAGGGCCGGGUAAGACCGGUGCCAGCCGCCGCGGUAAUACCGGCGGCUCGAGUGGUGGCCGAUAUUAUUGAGUCUAAAGGGUCCGUAGCCGGCUUUGCAAGUCCCCUGGGAAAUCCAGCGGCUUAACCGUUGGGCUUUCAUGGGAUACUACAUUGCUUGGGACUGGGAGAGGUAGGAGGUACUCGGGGGGUAGGGGUGAAAUCCUGUAAUCCUCCGGGGACCACCGGUGGCGAAGGCGUCCUACCAGAACAGGUCCGACGGUGAGGGACGAAAGCUAGGGGCACGAACCGGAUUAGAUACCCGGGUAGUCCUAGCCGUAAACGAUGCCCGCUAGGUGUCACGACGGUCGUGAAUCGUCGUGGUGCCGUAGGGAAGCCGCGAAGCGGGCCACUUGGGAAGUACGGCCGCAAGACUGAAACUUAAAGGAAUUGGCGGG